UGGGGAAUCUUGCACAAUGGGGGAAACCCUGAUGCAGCGACGCCGCGUGAGCGAUGAAGCCCUUCGGGGUGUAAAGCUCUUUCGGCAGGGACGAUAAUGACGGUACCUGAAGAAGAAGCUGCGGCUAACUACGUGCCAGCAGCCGCGGUAAUACGUAGGCAGCGAGCGUUGUUCGGAGUUACUGGGCGUAAAGAGUGCGUAGGCGGUGGCCCAAGUCUGGUGUGAAAUCUCCCGGCUCAACCGGGAGGGUGCGCCGGAAACUGGGUUGCUUGAGUACUGGAGAGGCAAGCGGAAUUCCUGGUGUAGCGGUGAAAUGCGUAGAUAUCAGGAGGAACACCCGUGGUGUAGACGGCUUGCUGGACAGUCACUGACGCUGAGGCACGAAAGCGUGGGGAGCAAA
This 400-nucleotide ribosomal RNA is filed under the name uncultured bacterium. RNAcentral describes it as "bacterial SSU rRNA". It matches the Rfam family "Bacterial small subunit ribosomal RNA", at positions 355 to 772 of the family's 1533-position model. The record is from RNAcentral.